This 230-nucleotide unclassified non-coding RNA is filed under the name plant metagenome. Its description in RNAcentral is "partial contains small subunit ribosomal RNA, internal transcribed spacer 1, and 5.8S ribosomal RNA". The record is from RNAcentral.
UCUCCGUAGGUGAACCUGCGGAGGGAUCAUUACAGAGUUCUCGCCCUCGCGGGUAGACCUCCCACCCACUGUGAUUGUUACCGUCGUUGCUUUGGCGGGCCGCUGGGCCCCGCCCCGCCACCGGCCCCGGCUGGUGCGCGCCCGCCAGAGGCUCCGCAAACUCGUGAUGUCAACGUCGUCUGAGUACUAUACAACAGUUAAAACUUUCAACAACGGAUCUCUUGGUUCUG